Molecule: unclassified non-coding RNA, 291 nt
Filed under: uncultured fungus
Lineage: Eukaryota; Fungi
Description: partial contains 5.8S ribosomal RNA, internal transcribed spacer 2, and large subunit ribosomal RNA
Source: RNAcentral
AACGCAUAUUGCGGUCAAGGCUUCGGCCGAGACCAUGUCUGCCUCAGCGUCGGUGUGACCCCCACAUCCCCCCCAUCUGGGGCGGGAUGGAGCUGGUCUCCCCACUGCUAAACACCUCGGUGCGGCUGCAGUGGGCUGGCCGAAAUUCAGAGGUUUAAGCUUGGACCUGUAUGGCACCAGCAAGGUAGGUAGCUCGACUACUCCAGCUGAUGCUUUGGGGACUGGCACGAGCCCGCAGGAAAUCACCACUUUUUCGACCUGAGAUCAGGCAAGGCUACCCGCUGAACUUAA